RNAcentral lists this ribosomal RNA (1177 nucleotides) under Gracilibacillus sp. RNAcentral describes it as "bacterial SSU rRNA". It matches the Rfam family "Bacterial small subunit ribosomal RNA", at positions 86 to 1249 of the family's 1533-position model. Lineage: Bacteria; Bacillati; Bacillota; Bacilli; Caryophanales; Bacillaceae. The record is from RNAcentral.
GUGGAACGAGCGGCGGACGGGUGAGUAACACGUGGGCAACCUGCCUGUAAGACUGGGAUAACUCCGGGAAACCGGGGCUAAUACCGGAUAAUACAUUGCUUCGCAUGAAGCAAUGUUGAAAGAUGGCUUUUAGCUAUCACUUACAGAUGGGCCCGCGGCGCAUUAGCUAGUUGGUAAGGUAAUGGCUUACCAAGGCAACGAUGCGUAGCCGACCUGAGAGGGUGAUCGGCCACACUGGGACUGAGACACGGCCCAGACUCCUACGGGAGGCAGCAGUAGGGAAUCUUCCGCAAUGGACGAAAGUCUGACGGAGCAACGCCGCGUGAACGAAGAAGGUUUUCGGAUCGUAAAGUUCUGUUGUUAGGGAAGAACAAGUACCGUUCGAAUAGGGCGGUACCUUGACGGUACCUAUCGAGGAAGCCCCGGCUAACUACGUGCCAGCAGCCGCGGUAAUACGUAGGGGGCAAGCGUUGUCCGGAAUUAUUGGGCGUAAAGCGCGCGUAGGCGGUUUCUUAAGUCUGAUGUGAAAUCUUGCGGCUCAACCGCAAGCGGCCAUUGGAAACUGAGGAACUUGAGUACAGAAGAGGAGAGCGGAAUUCCACGUGUAGCGGUGAAAUGCGUAGAUAUGUGGAGGAACACCACUGGCGAAGGCGGCUCUCUGGUCUGUAACUGACGCUGAAGUGCCAAAUCCUGGGGAGCGAACAGGAUUAGAUACCCUGGUAGUCCACGCCGAAACGAUGAGUGCUAGGUGUUAGGGGGUUUCCGCCCCUUAGUGCUGCAGUUAACGCAUUAAGCACUCCGCCUGGGGAGUACGGCCGCAAGGCUGAAACUCAAAAGAAUUGACGGGGGCCCGCACAAGCGGUGGAGCAUGUGGUUUAAUUCGAAGCAACGCGAAGAACCUUACCAGGUCUUGACAUCUUCGGAUGUCCCUAGAGAUAGGGAGUUCCCUUCGGGGACCGAAUGACAGGUGGUGCAUGGUUGUCGUCAGCUCGUGUCGUGAGAUGUUGGGUUAAGUCCCGCAACGAGCGCAACCCUUGAUCUUAGUUGCCAGCAUUUAGUUGGGCACUCUAAGGUGACUGCCGGUGACAAACCGGAGGAAGGUGGGGAUGACGUCAAAUCAUCAUGCCCCUUAUGACCUGGGCUACACACGUGCUACAAUGGAUGGAACAAAGGGCAG